CACCGCGGUUAUACGAGCAAGCUCGAGUUGACAGGUGUCGGCGUAAAGGGUGGUCAGGGAAAGAACAACUAAAGUCGAACACCUCCUCAACUGUAAUAUGCGCCCGGAGGCAUGAAGAUCUACUACGAAAGUGGCUUUACUUUACUUGAAUCCACGACAGCUAAGAAA
Molecule: ribosomal RNA, 168 nt
Filed under: Photostomias guernei (loosejaw)
Lineage: Eukaryota; Metazoa; Chordata; Actinopteri; Stomiiformes; Stomiidae
Description: partial 12S rRNA
Source: RNAcentral